CGGGCUGGCCGGGCGACCGCGUCGCCUUCCACACGAAAGGGAGGCGUCGAGGAAAGUCCGGGCUCCACAGAGCAAGGUGGUGGGUAACGCCCACCCGGGGAGACCCGCGGGACAGUGCCACAGAAAGCAGACCGCCGUGCCUCCGGGCGCGGUAAGGGUGAAACGGUGGUGUAAGAGACCACCAGCGCCCCAGGUGACUGGGACGGCUAGGUAAACCCCACCUGGAGCAAGGUCAGACAGGAUGCGUUCGAGGGCGGCUCGCCCGAGCAUCCGGGUAGACCGCUGGAGGCCGCCGGCAACGGCGGUCCGAGAUGGAUGGUCGCCCCUCUUCGGAGGACAGAACCCGGCUUAUGUGCCAGCCCGUCAC
Molecule: RNase P RNA, 367 nt
Filed under: Nocardioides terrae
Lineage: Bacteria; Bacillati; Actinomycetota; Actinomycetes; Propionibacteriales; Nocardioidaceae
Description: Bacterial RNase P class A
Rfam family: Bacterial RNase P class A
About the family: Ribonuclease P (RNase P) is a ubiquitous endoribonuclease, found in archaea, bacteria and eukarya as well as chloroplasts and mitochondria.
Source: Rfam by way of RNAcentral